RNAcentral lists this ribosomal RNA (525 nucleotides) under uncultured bacterium. Its description in RNAcentral is "bacterial SSU rRNA". It matches the Rfam family "Bacterial small subunit ribosomal RNA", at positions 355 to 893 of the family's 1533-position model. The record is from RNAcentral.
UGAGGAAUCUUGCGCAAUGGGGGAAACCCUGACGCAGCGACGCCGCGUGCGGGAAGAAGGCCUUCGGGUCGUAAACCGCUUUUCUGGGGGACGAGGAAGGACGGUACCCCAGGAAUAAGUCCCGGCUAACUACGUGCCAGCAGCCGCGGUAACACGUAGGGGGCGAGCGUUAUCCGGAAUUACUGGGCGUAAAGGGCGUCUAGGCGGCUUGUCAAGUAUGGCGUGAAAGAUCUCGGCUCAACCGAGGGAACGCGCUGUAAACUGGCAGGCUAGAGACUUGGAGGGUGCGUGGAAUUCCCGGUGGAGUGGUGGAAUGCGUUGAGAUCGGGAGGAACACCUGAAGCGAAGGCGGCGCACUGGCCAAGUUCUGACGCUGAAGCGCGACAGCGUGGGGAGCGAACGGGAUUAGAUACCCCGGUAGUCCACGCCGUAAACGAUGACGACUAGGUGUGUGGUGCGUUACGGGCACGUGCGUACCGCAGCCAACGCGAUAAGUCGUCCGCCUGGGGAGUACGGCCGCAACGG